AAUGUUCUAAGUCACCGGCUCUGGAGCUUCUUUGCACUUUGGAACCAACUUGCGGGAAGGAACUUUAAAAAUACUGAUAUCUCGAUCCAUCCCCAGAGGUUCUGAUUUAAUGGUCUUGGGGAUAUGGCCACGGCAUGAGGACUGUUAAAACUCCGCAGGUGAUUCUUAUGUGCAACAAAGUUUAAGAACCACUGAUGUAGGCCAUGUCGAUGUCAGUCUUCACUUAAAUCCAACAAGACCCCAGAGCUAAAACGUUCACCUGAAAGAAACCCCAUUCCCAGGCCUGCAUACUGACCUGCGCUGGCUCACAAGAAGCAAAGUGGUCCCUUAACAGGGGCUUCCUGGAGAAAAUGUCUUGACCUAAAAGAGUGAUUCGAGCUGCAGGGAUUUAAGAGAGACAGGGCCUUGCUCUGUCACCCAGGCUGAAAUGCAGUGUUGCAAUCUUGGCUCGCUGUAGCCUCAAGCUCUUGGACUCAGGCGAUUCUCCUAUCUCAGCUUCCUAAGUAGCUGGGACUACAGGGCUCAGUGUGGUCAAAAGAAGACUAUAGAAUCAAGGAUGAAGAGAAGGAACACAGAAUAAAAGGACGUCUCAGCAGGAAGCUCUGUGACUACUAUGUCAAAUGAUGCCAUACAGUGAAGCACCUUGAAAGAUUGCUGGGAUAAGCUGACAGCAUGGCAGCCAAAAUAGUGACCCCAGGCUUGCAGGAAUUCUGUGCUUUCUGGAGGAAAUGGUCAUGGGUUUCCCAACCUGCCUUUUAAACUAAGGACCGAGCUGAAGAAGCCCCCGUCUUCCAGCGCAUGUUAUUCCCAUGACAGAUGCUAAAAGUUCAAGGGGAGAGCUACAAGAAGUGCGUUUUCCUGUGGCUACUUUCAUGUCUGGAUGCAAUGCCUAGACCUGCAUCCAUCUUGCGACCAACCUGAAGAUGAACAGAAAGGAAGGAAGGAUGGCCCAAUAGCCUGGGAAGAACUGGUGUUCCUGAUACCAUCAUUAACCACAGAAUCUACAAUCCCGGAACCCCCCAUCCUUAACCAUGGAAUCUACAAUCCUAUCUCUAGACCCUUUGUCCAGAUGCUACAGUUUCUUUGUUCAAUCUAGUUUGUGUCAGGAUUUCUGUUCAUUACAUCAAAAGUAUUCUAAUACUUGUAGCAAAGCAACUGGAGAAGUUUUCACUUUGUCUUUAACCAAAGAAGACUUCCAGGAAACAUCUCCUCAGUGGGUUUCUCCCUCACCACUGGAUUUUUAUCUCUGUACUAGUGCUUUGAUUUGUUUUAGGAGUCUCACCUCUCCACCUGUCAUAUUUCCCUGGCAGGCUCAUUUCUGCUAAUGCCCACAAUAUGUGUAUCAAUGAGCUUUCAACGUUAGGUACACAGCUCUUCAGGCAUGUAUAGCACAUUAAUCUGUCUGCUUCUAAGUGGUCUGUUGACAUGUUUGGGUGCCAGUUAUAUCUACAAGGCUGUGAUCAUUGUCCUGGGUUAUUCUGUUUGUUCUCUCUGCAGGAUGCAUUAGGACACCCAAGGCCAUGGCCAUCACUUACAUCUAGGAUUCAAUCUUAUCUCCUGUGAAUCACUGGAAACCUCCUGUCCUGGAACCCUUUUUUUCCACAUCCCACUGGAUGUCAUUCAUAGCAACUGGUCUUGUGGGUUGUCUAUUUUAUUGUGUUGUCUUACUCUUCCUCCUGGUAUCAGUUUUUAAAUCCUCUUGAUGAGAUCAGCUGAUCAGUCGCUAAGCAACAUAGUCCCCCAUGUCUUUGUAAGAUUCUCUGCACUCAUGGCUAGAAUGAUUUAUUCUGGUAUCUUAAGCUGUGUUUCAGAACCUCAUUCUAAAUAUCAACCUAUUCUUGUAAGUCCACUACUGAUCAUCUUUAGAUAUUCUUCAGUCUUCCAGAGUUCCAAAGGGCAGUAGGAAGAAGCAAUGAAAAUACCACCUGUAUUCUCACAUCUUUCAUUGUUCCACUCAAAAAAUACCACCAUGUUCACUUCUGGUGGAACGUUUAUGUCCAUGAGAAGCAGUGGCUUUGAAGAGUUUUGGCAGACUAUGGCGCCUUACUCAACAUUGGGAAGGUAUCUUGCCAUCAGACCUUUUGGGUCUCCAUGAAACUUCUUAUACCCCCUCUGGGAAAAGUCACUAACUGUGAUCUUACUGAGCUUCUAAACACAGCAUUUUUUUUACACUUAAGUGAGCGGGGGUCCUCCUCAUUUGUGCUUCUCUUCUUGUAAGGGUGACUUCCUCCCAGUAGGAUGAAUCUCAUGCCUAUUUGUGUUAUUUUGCUAAUUCCAGCUUCUUUUCUACUCAGGGGGGUUCCAACUCUUUUAAGGUCUCAUCUUCAGCACUUCUAAACUGUGGGAAACUAUGUGAAAACAAAUGGAGUGGCCAAACACACCAUUCAUCACUGUGCUUCUGGACAGCUGCAAGUCCAUACGUGUUCUGAUAAUUCAAUACAAGAAAGAAGAUUUGCUUGGGAAGGUCUGAAUGGCCCUAGCUUUGUUUGUUAACCAUAACCUCUACCAGCUGGAAACACAAUGCCCCACUAAUACUAACAGUGCCUGCUUGUCCAAACAGCAUUCUGGCCACUUACAGCAAUUGACACAAAUUCUAACAGGUAGAUGGGGCAAAGCAUUACCUUGUGUAAAACUGCUGCUAAAAUAUAUUCCUAGUGAGAAAGGUCAACUUGUGGGCUAAAGUCCUUGUCACCUCCUGAUCAGUUUUCACUUAGGGCACAGCAGUCUGCCAUUCACCAUUGGGAUCUCUGUGUGUUUCUUCUCUCUUAUGAAAGGACAUAUUGAGCGCUCUAGGACUUGGCUGCCUACAUCAAGUAGAGGGGGACCCUCAUGAUUCACUAAGGGGCCUCAGUUCUGAAUAUUUCUCAUUAUUCAAAAAUGCAAAGCCAUUGUCAUUACGUGGCAGUUUAUUGGAACCAAGGGAGGAAUUGGUCCCUUUUCAUGUUCUUCUCCUAAAUAGAGAAAAGGUAAUUAAAACUUGGAGCUUAAU
Molecule: long non-coding RNA, 2989 nt
Filed under: Homo sapiens (human)
Lineage: Eukaryota; Metazoa; Chordata; Mammalia; Primates; Hominidae
Description: PREDICTED lncRNA (TCONS_00044117)
Source: RNAcentral